AAGGGGUCUUCAAGAGUCAGAGGUCAACUCCCUUAACUGCCUUGUCUUGAGCAAAAAUCCCGCUGGCACCCUCCCACCCUCUCCUCAACCACCAGCAGAGCUCAGCUCUCCUACUGGAGUCCAUAACUGUGGGUGCUAAGCCAUCAUGAGGUGGAAGACCUGUGCCACACAUCCCUGCCAUGAUGUGAACUGUGCUCCCAUAGAUCCAAAGCAACAAGGCCAAGAGACUGUGGACUGCAACCUCUGAAACCAUGAACCAAAAUAUGGAUUUUAAUUUGCCUUCCUUCAACACAACAGUGAAGAACGAGCGUACCAGCAUUUCUUCAGGACACACCUGUGCGCCAUGGCGGAGGAGCCCAUCUUGAGGAAGGCAGGUUUUGCACACAGGUGGUGAUUGGGAGGCCUCAACAGGCUCCUGACCAACCAAAUAAAGGCUGGUGGAAAGACAAAGCCUGUGCAUUGGGAGGUGGGGGCUGGAAUGGGGAAGGAGACACUUUAGACAAGGUUAUUAGCAGAUGUUGUUUAAAUGUUCUGAAUGCCAAACUGUAAUAAGAAAGAUCAAUGUAACAUGGACGUUUUAACACACGCGAACUCUUGCACACCCACACACACCCACACACUUUCUCUCUUUCUGAAGUACACUGCUUCCUGCAUGUGCUUUUCCAGGUACUUCCUGUUACUUGACAUUAUGGAGGAAAACUAAAGGCGAAGAGACUCCAUUCAGUUUAUCCAAUGCAUUGCUGGAGCCCGUGGUCAACAUUAGAUUGCCUCUAGAAUAGCUAAUUUUUUUGGUUGGGGUUAAGUCACUUCUUUCUUUUUUUACUAAACACCAUAUGUAAUCCCAAUUUUUAUACCACACACCCUAAGGAAAAACAAAAUAUAGGCUAUGGUUAUGACUGGCGUUUGAGAUGUUAUUGCUACAGACAAGGAGCCUACAUAUUGGAGCU
This is a long non-coding RNA of Ictidomys tridecemlineatus (thirteen-lined ground squirrel), 947 nucleotides long. RefSeq lists it as uncharacterized. The record is from RefSeq and is a predicted model, not a curated record. Lineage: Eukaryota; Metazoa; Chordata; Mammalia; Rodentia; Sciuridae.